ACUUUCAGCAACGGAUCUCUUGGUUCUGGCAUCAAUGAAGAAGGCAGCAGAAUGCGAUAAGUAAUGUGAAUUGCAGAAUUCAGUGAAUCAUCGAAUCUUUGAACGCAAAUUGCGCCCGCCAGUAUUCUGGCGGGCAUGCCUGUCUCAGCGUCAUUU
RNAcentral lists this ribosomal RNA (156 nucleotides) under Sarocladium strictum. RNAcentral's name for it is "5.8S ribosomal RNA". It matches the Rfam family "5.8S ribosomal RNA". Rfam says of the family: 5.8S ribosomal RNA (5.8S rRNA) is a component of the large subunit of the eukaryotic ribosome. It is transcribed by RNA polymerase I as part of the 45S precursor that also contains 18S and 28S rRNA. The record is from RNAcentral. Lineage: Eukaryota; Fungi; Ascomycota; Sordariomycetes; Hypocreales; Sarocladiaceae.